GGCUCAGAUUGAACGCUGGCGGCAUGCCUUACACAUGCAAGUCGAACGGUAACAGGUUAAGCUGACGAGUGGCGAACGGGUGAGUAAUAUAUCGGAACGUGCCCAGUUGUGGGGGAUAACUACUCGAAAGAGUGGCUAAUACCGCAUGAGACCUGAGGGUGAAAGCGGGGGAUUUUGUAGCAAUACAGGACCUCGCGCAGUUGGAGCGGCCGAUAUCAGAUUAGCUAGUUGGCGGGGUAAAAGCCCACCAAGGCGACGAUCUGUAGCUGGUCUGAGAGGACGACCAGCCACACUGGGACUGAGACACGGCCCAGACUCCUACGGGAGGCAGCAGUGGGGAAUUUUGGACAAUGGACGCAAGUCUGAUCCAGCCAUGCCGCGUGUGGGAAGAAGGCCUUCGGGUUGUAAACCACUUUUGUCAGGGAAGAAACGGCUCGGGUUAAUACCUUGGGCUAAUGACGGUA
RNAcentral lists this ribosomal RNA (464 nucleotides) under beta proteobacterium R-39182. Its description in RNAcentral is "bacterial SSU rRNA". It matches the Rfam family "Bacterial small subunit ribosomal RNA", at positions 21 to 477 of the family's 1533-position model. Lineage: Bacteria; Pseudomonadati; Pseudomonadota; Betaproteobacteria. The record is from RNAcentral.